This 254-nucleotide ribosomal RNA is filed under the name uncultured prokaryote. RNAcentral's name for it is "partial 16S ribosomal RNA". It matches the Rfam family "Bacterial small subunit ribosomal RNA", at positions 524 to 777 of the family's 1533-position model. The record is from RNAcentral.
UACGGAGGGGGCUAGCGUUGUUCGGAAUUACUGGGCGUAAAGCGCGCGUAGGCGGACCUGCAAGUCGGGGGUGAAAGCCCGAGGCUCAACCUCGGAACUGCCUUCGAUACUGCGGGUCUCGAGUCCGGGAGAGGUGAGUGGAAUUCCUAGUGUAGAGGUGAAAUUCGUAGAUAUUAGGAAGAACACCAGUGGCGAAGGCGGCUCACUGGCCCGGUACUGACGCUGAGGCGCGAAAGCGUGGGGAGCAAACAGGA